UACGUAGGUGGCAAGCGUUGUCCGGAAUUACUGGGUGUAAAGGGCGAGUAGGCGGGUAUGCAAGUCAGAUGUGAAAUACCGAGGCUUAACCUCGGGGCUGCAUUUGAAACUGUAAAUCUUGAGUGAUGGAGAGGCAGGCGGAAUUCCCGGUGUAGCGGUGAAAUGCAUAGAGAUCGGGAGGAACACCAGUGGCGAAGGCGGCCUGCUGGACAUUAACUGACGCUGAGGCGCGAAAGUGUGGGGAGCAAACAGGAUUAGAUACC
RNAcentral lists this ribosomal RNA (263 nucleotides) under uncultured bacterium. RNAcentral describes it as "partial 16S ribosomal RNA". It matches the Rfam family "Bacterial small subunit ribosomal RNA", at positions 524 to 786 of the family's 1533-position model. The record is from RNAcentral.